AUUGUUAAAACAUGAAUUCUUGAAUAAGUUUUAGCAAUGAUCGGUUGUAAUAUGACAAACUAUAUGGUCUUUACAGUUGUCUCGUGCAUUAUUUUGUUAGGCCAUCUCCAACGGAACUGCAAAACUUUAAAAUAGUGUGGGAAUGUUAAUUUUUUCUCUCCAACCAAACUGUAUAAUUUACACUAUUAUAGUGUGAUUCCUUUUUUUUCAACAGUAUAUCACUAUAUUUGGUGUGUCACUGUAGACAACGGCAAAAGAUAGAAUAUUAUUAUUUUUU
This 277-nucleotide small RNA is filed under the name Arabidopsis thaliana (thale cress). Its description in RNAcentral is "ATSL282190". The record is from RNAcentral. Lineage: Eukaryota; Viridiplantae; Streptophyta; Magnoliopsida; Brassicales; Brassicaceae.